RNAcentral lists this ribosomal RNA (1006 nucleotides) under Salmonella enterica. Its description in RNAcentral is "partial 23S ribosomal RNA". It matches the Rfam family "Bacterial large subunit ribosomal RNA", at positions 711 to 1716 of the family's 2925-position model. The record is from RNAcentral. Lineage: Bacteria; Pseudomonadati; Pseudomonadota; Gammaproteobacteria; Enterobacterales; Enterobacteriaceae.
AGACCCGAAACCCGGUGAUCUAGCCAUGGGCAGGUUGAAGGUUGGGUAACACUAACUGGAGGACCGAACCGACUAAUGUUGAAAAAUUAGCGGAUGACCUGUGGCUGGGGGUGAAAGGCCAAUCAAACCGGGAGAUAGCUGGUUCUCCCCGAAAGCUAUUUAGGUAGCGCCUCGUGAAUUCAUCUCCGGGGGUAGAGCACUGUUUCGGCUAGGGGGCCAUCCCGGCUUACCAACCCGAUGCAAACUGCGAAUACCGGAGAAUGUUAUCACGGGAGACACACGGCGGGUGCUAACGUCCGUCGUGAAGAGGGAAACAACCCAGACCGCCAGCUAAGGUCCCAAAGUCAUGGUUAAGUGGGAAACGAUGUGGGAAGGCCCAGACAGCCAGGAUGUUGGCUUAGAAGCAGCCAUCAUUUAAAGAAAGCGUAAUAGCUCACUGGUCGAGUCGGCCUGCGCGGAAGAUGUAACGGGGCUAAACCAUGCACCGAAGCUGCGGCAGCGACACUCAGGUGUUGUUGGGUAGGGGAGCGUUCUGUAAGCCUGUGAAGGUGGCCUGUGAGGGUUGCUGGAGGUAUCAGAAGUGCGAAUGCUGACAUAAGUAACGAUAAAGCGGGUGAAAAGCCCGCUCGCCGGAAGACCAAGGGUUCCUGUCCAACGUUAAUCGGGGCAGGGUGAGUCGACCCCUAAGGCGAGGCCGAAAGGCGUAGUCGAUGGGAAACGGGUUAAUAUUCCCGUACUUGGUGUUACUGCGAAGGGGGGACGGAGAAGGCUAUGUUGGCCGGGCGACGGUUGUCCCGGUUUAAGCGUGUAGGCUGGUUUUCCAGGCAAAUCCGGAAAAUCAAGGCUGAGGCGUGAUGACGAGGCACUACGGUGCUGAAGCAACAAAUGCCCUGCUUCCAGGAAAAGCCUCUAAGCAUCAGGUAACAUCAAAUCGUACCCCAAACCGACACAGGUGGUCAGGUAGAGAAUACCAAGGCGCUUGAGAGAACUCGGGUGAAGGAACUAG